GUCGAACGGUGUCUUCGGACAUAGUGGCGCACGGGUGCGUAACACGUAUGCAACCUACCUUACAUUGGGGGAUAGCCUUUCGAAAGGGAGAUUAAUACCGCAUAAGACAGUAGCUGGGCAUCCAGCAGCUGUUAAAGAUUUAUCGAUGUAAGAUGGGCAUGCGUCCAAUUAGUUAGUUGGCGAGGUAACGGCUCACCAAGACUUUGAUUGGUAGGGGAACUGAGAGGUCAAUCCCCCACACUGGCACUGAGAUACGGGCCAGACUCCUACGGGAGGCAGCAGUAGGGAAUAUUGGGCAAUGGACGCAAGUCUGACCCAGCCAUGCCGCGUGCAGGAUGAAGGCGUUAUGCGUUGUAAACUGCUUUUAUACAGGAAGAAACGACUCUUGCGAGAGGCAUUGACGGUACUGUAUGAAUAAGCACCGGCUAACUCUGUGCCAGCAGCCGCGGUAAUACGGAGGGUGCAAGCGUUGUCCGGAUUUAUUGGGUUUAAAGGGUGCGCAGGUGGUUUAUUAAGUCAGUGGUGAAAGACGGUCGCUCAACGAUUGCAGUGCCAUUGAAACUGGUAGACUUGAGUAAAGUAGAGGUGGGCGGAAUUGAUAGUGUAGCGGUGAAAUGCAUAGAUAUUAUCAAGAACUCCAAUUGCGUAGGCAGCUCACUUGGCUUUUACUGACACUCAUGCACGAAAGUGUGGGUAUCAAACAGGAUUAGAUACCCUGGUAGUCCACACUGUAAACGAUGAUAACUAGGU
RNAcentral lists this ribosomal RNA (750 nucleotides) under uncultured bacterium. RNAcentral's name for it is "bacterial SSU rRNA". It matches the Rfam family "Bacterial small subunit ribosomal RNA", at positions 61 to 821 of the family's 1533-position model. The record is from RNAcentral.